UGGGGAAUAUUGGACAAUGGGCGAAAGCCUGAUCCAGCCAUGCCGCGUGUGUGAAGAAGGUCUUCGGAUUGUAAAGCACUUUAAGUUGGGAGGAAGGGCAUUAACCUAAUACGUUAGUGUUUUGACGUUACCGACAGAAUAAGCACCGGCUAACUCUGUGCCAGCAGCCGCGGUAAUACAAAGGGUGCAAGCGUUAAUCGGAAUUACUGGGCGUAAAGUGCGCGUAGGUGGUUUGUUAAGUUGGAUGUGAAAUCCCCGGGCUCAACCUGGGAACUGCAUUCAAAACUGACUGACUAGAGUAUGGUAGAGGGUGGUGGAAUUUCCUGUGUAGCGGUGAAAUGCGUAGAUAUAGGAAGGAACACCAGUGGCGAAGGCGACCACCUGGACUAAUACUGACACUGAGGUGCGAAAGCGUGGGGAGCAAACA
This 427-nucleotide ribosomal RNA is filed under the name uncultured bacterium. RNAcentral's name for it is "partial 16S ribosomal RNA". It matches the Rfam family "Bacterial small subunit ribosomal RNA", at positions 355 to 774 of the family's 1533-position model. The record is from RNAcentral.